Non-coding RNA from Dama dama (fallow deer), 1359 nucleotides. Lineage: Eukaryota; Metazoa; Chordata; Mammalia; Artiodactyla; Cervidae. The record is from the annotation of a RefSeq genome assembly.
AUGGUGUGCUUGAAAGGGUGGUGCGAGUGGCCAAGGGGACACGGGGUGCCCACUCGGUGGUCAGAUGGGCUGCAGGCCCAGGGAGCUGACCAGGAUGGGGGAGCAGGGGGCACGGGUCAGGCCAGACUCCCACCAGAGGGGAGCGGCCCCGGGGCUCUGAUCCAGGAGGCCACACUCACCGACCCCAGCUGUGUCCAGACACCCCAGCUGCCACGCACAGAGCAGGGUGGCCAGACCACGCCGGCCGGUCCCUCCACCACAGCCCCGAAAGUCUACCCUCUGGAGUCCAGCUGCGGGGACACGUCCAGCUCCACCGUGACCCUGGGCUGCCUGGUCUCCAGCUACAUGCCCGAGCCGGUGACCGUGACCUGGAACUCAGGUGCCCUGACCAGCGGCGUGCGCACCUUCCCGGCCGUCCUGCAGUCUUCCGGGCUCUACUCUCUCAGCAGCAUGGUGACCGUGCCCGCCAGCACCUCAGGAUCCCAGACCUUCAUCUGCAAUGUAGCCCACCCGGCCAGCAGCACCAAGGUGGACAAGCGUGUUGGAGUCCCCAGUUGCUGCUCCAAGUGUCCUAAACAGCCUUGUGUGAGGGGACCGUCUGUCUUCAUCUUCCCCCCGAAACCCAAGGACACCCUGAUGAUCACUGGAAAGCCCGAGGUCACGUGUGUGGUGGUGGACGUGGGCCAGGAUGACCCCGAGGUCAAGUUCUCCUGGUUCGUGAAUGAUGUGGAGGUGCACACGGCCAGGACGAAGCCGAGAGAGGAGCAGUUCAACAGCACCUACCGUGUGGUCAGCGCCCUGCCCAUCCAACAUGAUGACUGGACUCAGGGAAAGGAGUUCAAGUGCAAGGUCAACAACAAAGGCCUCCCGGCCCCCAUUGUGAGGACCAUCUCCAAGACCAAAGGGCAGGCCCUGGAGCCACAGGUGUACGUCCUGGCCCCACCCCGGGAAGAGCUCAGCAAAAGCACGGUCAGCCUCACCUGCCUGAUCACCGGCUUCUACCCAGACUACAUCGCCGUGGAGUGGCGGAGAAACCGGCAGCCUGAGUCAGAGGGCAAGUAUGGCACGACCCAGCCCCAGCUGGACGCCGACGGCUCCUACUUCCUGUACAGCAGGCUCAGGGUGAACAAGAACAGCUGGCUAGAAGGAGACAGCUACACGUGUGCAGUGAUGCAUGAGGCUCUGCACAAUCGCUACACAGAGAAGUCCAUCUCUAAGCCUCCGGGCUCCAGGUCCAGCCGGGACCCCCCAGCCCCUCCCUGUGUGCAUUCCUCCUGGGCCGCCGUGAAUAAAGCACCCAGCGCCGCCCUGGGACCCUGCAACGCUGUGCUGGUUCUUUCCGAGGCAGAGCCCUGGUGA